RNAcentral lists this long non-coding RNA (658 nucleotides) under Olea europaea subsp. europaea. Lineage: Eukaryota; Viridiplantae; Streptophyta; Magnoliopsida; Lamiales; Oleaceae. The record is from RNAcentral.
UGGAGAUAGAUUGAAAUACUAAUAAAAAAGAAACAAAAUGUACUUAAAUCUUUUAACUUUAGAGAACAUAUCACAAAAUUUCCAUAAUAUAGAACACAUUAGACUCCUCUAUGAUAGAAAACUGAAAAAGAAAUAUUGAAAAAGUGCCUUCCCCUUUUCCAAAAUCCACUCAUCUCAAUAAAAUGAUUUGAAUCUGAUUUAUCCUCUAUAUUGGAAUGGGUGACAUCUCCCCCCUCCUUGAGCCCAAGUAUCAUAUAUCGGUAAAAUAUUCAUUUGACAACCAUUACAGUCGAAUGCCCGCAAAUAUGAAACCAUACCUUGGAUCCACUGGUUUAGUAACAUAUGGUCCCAAUUUUCUGCCAAUAGGAAUACCCUGCUGUUGUGGACUGUUGGCGGGUGGGUGUAGAGGAAGGGGGCAUUUUGCCCAGCUGGAUUAAAUCUACUAGGAAUAAUUACUGGACAUUUGUCUCAUUUUAGAUAUAAAAGCAUUCUGUUUUUUCUUCUAUAUGGUCAAUUUCCCCCUUCUGCUGGUUAGGUUAUGUUUGGACAUUAGACCAAGCUAUGGGACAACUUGACAUGUUGAGAGCUUGAUGUUGAAUAGCUUCACUUAUGAUCUGCAUUAACCUAACUUUAAAAUCCUGUUAUCGAUCCGAAGAGG